RNAcentral lists this long non-coding RNA (424 nucleotides) under Brassica rapa (field mustard). RNAcentral's name for it is "long non-coding RNA (BRAP_LNC001789)". The record is from RNAcentral. Lineage: Eukaryota; Viridiplantae; Streptophyta; Magnoliopsida; Brassicales; Brassicaceae.
ACUUGUUCUUGAAAAAGCUUUGAAAAAGCUUUGUAUUUUGCCGGUUCUAUAAACUUAUAGUAAAGCGACUGUUUUCUCAAAAACUUUCUAAGCAUUUUAUUAUCGACGCACAAAACCAAACUACUUCUCAAAGGCUUAGUACUUGCAGGUUAUAUAACUUAUACGCCACCUAUUUCAUAUUAAGUGUUAUUUUAAAUUUUAAUUUUUUUUUAUUUUACAUUUUCAAUGCAUUUAUUUUAUGAAUUUUCUAAUUUACCUUUAAGCUUUUAAAUUAUUAGUUAACAAAACAAAACAAAAUAAUAUAUUAAGUAGAAGUAAAACAGAAAAUUAAUGGUUUGUUUAUCUGUGAAAAAAAUUAAAAUGAUAAUUUUGUGAAACAAAAGAAAAAAUAAACAAUAUUAACAGUUUGUAAAAUAAUAUUUAC